CCUCCCUGAUCAUGAAGAAUGGAGACCCAAACCCGCUGAGGUGCCUGAAGGAGCAGGGUCAGCCUCUGCCUCCCACGGCCUCUGAUGGUGCAUCGGAGGCUGAAUCCCUCUCCUGAUCUCCUGCAGGUGCAGAUUCCAGGUUUCCAGUGGGUGUCGGAGUGGGCUCCAGUGCUCUCCUGGCCCUAGGAAACCCUGGGCUACAUGAAGCCUUGGCCUAGCCAGAUUGUUUCCCACACUGUCACUCCCCACUGUCACCUCCCCAAACAUGGGGCUGCAUGCUGUGUGCCCUGGGUGGGACAUUGGAAGGAGUUCCACCUUCCAGGUUUGGAUCACAGUAAAGCCUCUGCCAUGGGGAUGUGCUGGCCGAGACAGACGGGGUUGAACCAGCCCUGUCACGUUGGCCUUGGGCAAGUCACCUGUGCCUUGCUUCCCUUUCCCCAGCAGCCAGGAGGGGAUAAUAGCACCUAUUUCACCCAUAGCCAGCGCUCACUUGUUAACGGUAACUGAGUCCCAGAGAAGGUGCAGGCAGAGCCAUCGAGGCAGCACUGCAGCUGGACCUGGUCUGAGUCCCAGCUCCUGGCUGUGAGAUGUGUCUCUCCCUCUGUUUAUUCAUCUGAAGGACAGGGCUGUGCUGUUCUGGGGUCACUGUGACAAUGCAGCUGGGCUGUGUGAGUUGGUGGUGGCCUCCUGAGAUGGUUUGAGGUGGGCUGGAGGUGUGUCUUGAAUGCCCCCUCACCCCCACGGGGAAGACCCACUUAGGGAAGACUCAUGUGUCUGUAUGGAAGAACCCACGUUCCCCACCUCUCAGCUGUCCUCUGUCCCUUCCCAGCCCCCUCUGCUGUUCUGUAGGCUCUGGCAGUUGUCAUCCCGCUUGGUGGCCAUCUGGCUGGUCCACUCUUCCAGGUGGACCCUCUCUCCUCACAUGGUGCAGGUACCAUUGUGCCACCUCCAGACAAGCCACACUAGCCCCAGGGCCUCCUUUCUCUGGUACCCAGCCCCUGCCACUAGGUAUGUGCCCCCUCCCUAAAGCCCGCUGUGUUCACCAGCUGUGUUUGAACUCUGUCUCUGUGCAAGGCCUCAUGCAAAGCCUGAAACAGCCUGGCUUGUAGAGGACCAGGAGACCAAAGCUUGAAGACAGAGUGACGGUCUCCCAGAGCCCACUUAGCCUGAGCCCCAGGGCUGCGUCCAUGCUGGUCCUGGCUCCAGUGGGCCAAUUCUCUCCCGUGAUAUCUGUAAGGGCUCCUGUGGUGAUGGAGGUGGCUGGAGAGAACAGGCUGCCAUAACCCUCCCUCCCUGAGAAGGCCCAGUGGGGAACGUUUUAGGCAUCAGGGCAUCCUGGGGAGCAUCUUCCAGGGACCCCUCCUACACCCUGCCCCGCCCUGGCUCUCUAGUCAGAAACUGCAUUUCCUUGGACAGCGGGGCUGACCCAGGACAAAUGCAUCUAUUAGGCUGGUUUUCAGGGUGCUGGGGUGGGGGCAGGGGCGCUUCAUGGAUAGGAAGGAGAGGCCUGUGUGUUCCAGAAGUACAGAGGAACCUGGUGCCAGCCACAGUCAACCCCGAUGUGAUGACCUUUCUACCCACCCUCUUUGAUGUCUUGGUGCUGGCUGCUGUCCUUGGCCAGGAUGUGCAGACCCUGGCGCACACAGUCCCACAUGAGAGCCUGGGCUGGCACUGUCCUGAAGAAGGUGGCACCCACUCUCGUGGUCAGUGGAUCCAGCCUGGUGGGAGGAUCAUCCCACUUCAGGGGGCCAGGCAGCCUGAGUGGCCUAAGGGAGGUCGUCUCUUCCAGCCUCCUGCCCUCAACCCCAGAACCCAGGUCUGAGCCCUGGGCCACCUAGGGCCACCCUGGACCCACCAGAAUUCCUCCACCACCACUUGGUCAAAGUUUUGUAGAGGUCUGAGAACAAGAGUCAGCUGGGGGAUCAGGAGAGGAUGAAGAGGGUCACAGCUCUACCAAAGUCUUGUCCAGUCCUCCCCCAUCUUCCCGAGGCCUCUUCCCCGACCCCCCUACUUCAUCCCGCCACUUCACCCGUCUCGUCAGCUGCCCCUGAAGUGCCCAGAAGUCAGGGCUGGUUUUGUCCUCCAAGGCCUUGGUGUAGGGCUGGCCCAGGAUCUGCAGCCAAACUUCAUACAGCACCAGCUCCGCCUUCUCCCCUAGAGAGAUGGGGGUGGAGGUGGCAUCAGCCUGCACUCCCUCUCCUGGAAGCCCUGGGGUGGGACGCGCACCCAAGCUCUAAUGCUCCAUCCAGGGGUCAGCUGCUGCUGGUCUAAAAACAAGAUUUCUUGCUGCCUGUUUUUGUGUGACUCAUGAGCUAAGAAUGGCUUUUACAUGUUUAAAUGGUUGAAAACAUGGAAAGUAGAAUCGUAUCUUGUGACACAUGAAAAGUACAUGACAUGCAAACUUCCACGUCCAUAAAGAAAGGUUUCUGGGAAUGUGGCCAUGCUCAUUUGUUGACAUGUUGUCUAGGGCUGCUUUCUUGCUGCAGGGGAGGGUUUGAGUAUGUGAUGACGGAGACUCAGUGGCCUGCAGAGCCUUAAAGAGUUUCCAUCUGGCCCUUUACAGAAAACGCUUGCUACCCCCUGCACUGAUCCAUCUAAUGGAAUACGCUGCUCACUCCGAGAGUUGAUCCUAGUAGGAAAUGUUGCUGACCAUUUAACAGAUGCUGCUUUUAUGUUUUAUUUUGUCGCUGCUCUGGUGGGAGACAUGUAAGAAAAUUAACUCCCUGGGAGGAGGUCAUGGUGGGGCUUGUGGCCAUCAAUGGUGAAGCCUCUUUAAGAGGAUGUGUGGGGAGCUCUACCGUCUGCUGAGGGAGUUGUGAUGGGCCCUCUGUGUUGAGGAAUGAAGAGGGAACAUAGCCUGUCUGGUGGGAACUGACUUUCUGGGGAGCAGAAGAGAUGGUAGUUUGGGCCUGUGGAGGCAGAGGCCCAAACCAAUCUGGUCUCUGGGGCAGCCGGCAGGGAGAGUAACUGUGUAGGAGUGGGUGUGAGGGCAGAGCCCGAAGGAGGGCACCCCUGACCACACUCCCAGGAGGCUGCGGUGGUGGGGGUGGGGCAGCACUGUAGGAGGACCAGUGCCUUCUGUGGCUUUGGGGUCCUUGGAGAGCAGCUGUGGGCUGUGCAUACCUGGAGGGGACUGAUUUGACCCAGCACUCUCCUAACUUGGGUGUGGACCAGCUCUCCCUGUUAGGAUGGCAUGAGCUUGCAGAAGUCAUCCUAUCAGGAGGCCUCAAGAGGAGAUAUGGGUUUCUUACAGCCCCUGCACUGGGGCAGAGCUGAGGGUUUUUGCCUCUGACUUGGUGGGACAGAUCUUGUCAUGCAUGUGAGAACUCAGUGAGGUCCUGGGCAAUCAGGGACGUGACGGGACCCUCUCAUCCCUCUGAUCUUGACUGCUUCUCGCCUAUGUCCAGCUCCUUGCUGAAACUCUAUGCCCCAUUCCUCUCUGUGGCCCCAACACAUGAGCGAGUAUUGUCUGAAGAAAAUUCUGCCCAUUCUCUAGAAGGAGAACACCGAGGUUUAGAGAGGGGAAGAGCCUGAUGGCCCAGAGACACACAGGGAUCACAGCUGUACUAAAAACACAAAAAUUAGCUGGUGCACA
Long non-coding RNA from Cercocebus atys (sooty mangabey), 3595 nucleotides. RefSeq lists it as uncharacterized. The record is from RefSeq and is a predicted model, not a curated record. Lineage: Eukaryota; Metazoa; Chordata; Mammalia; Primates; Cercopithecidae. The transcript is spliced from 3 exons.